GACGAACGCUGGCGGCGCGCUUAACACAUGCAAGUCGAGCGGUAAGGCCCUUUCGGGGGUACACGAGCGGCGAACGGGUGAGUAACACGUGGGUGACCUGCCCUCAGCUCUGGGAUAAGCCUGGGAAACUGGGUCUAAUACUGGAUAUGACUCCACGGUGCAUGUCGUGGGGUGGAAAGCCUUGUGCGGCUGAGGAUGGGCCCGCGGCCUAUCAGCUUGUUGGUGGGGUGAUGGCCUACCAAGGCGACGACGGGUAGCCGGCCUGAGAGGGCGACCGGCCACACUGGGACUGAGACACGGCCCAGACUCCUACGGGAGGCAGCAGUGGGGAAUCUUGCGCAAUGGGCGAAAGCCUGACGCAGCGACGCCGCGUGAGGGAUGAC
This 383-nucleotide ribosomal RNA is filed under the name uncultured bacterium. RNAcentral's name for it is "bacterial SSU rRNA". It matches the Rfam family "Bacterial small subunit ribosomal RNA", at positions 28 to 412 of the family's 1533-position model. The record is from RNAcentral.